Molecule: ribosomal RNA, 212 nt
Filed under: uncultured bacterium
Lineage: Bacteria
Description: partial 16S ribosomal RNA
Rfam family: Bacterial small subunit ribosomal RNA
Source: RNAcentral
UACGUAGGUGGCAAGCGUUGUCCGGAAUUAUUGGGCGUAAAGCGCGCGCAGGCGGUCCCUUAAGUCUGAUGUGAAAGUCCACGGCUCAACCGUGGAGGGUCAUUGGAAACUGGGGGACUUGAGUACAGAAGAGGAAAGCGGAAUUCCACGUGUAGCGGUGAAAUGCGUAGAGAUGUGGAGGAACACCAGUGGCGAAGGCGGCUUCUGGUCUG